GCAGUCGAACGCUCGUAGCAAUACGGGAGUGGCAGACGGGUGAGUAACACGUGGGAACGUACCCUUCGAUCUGGGAUAACUGGGGGAAACUUCAGCUAAUACCGGAUACGCCCUUUGGGGGAAAGGUUUACUGUCGAAGGAUCGGCCCGCGUCCGAUUAGCUAGUUGGUGUUGGUAAUGGCUCACCAAGGCGACGAUCGGUAGCUGGUCUGAGAGGAUGGCCAGCCACAUUGGGACUGAGACACGGCCCAAACUCCUACGGGAGGCAGCAGUGGGGAAUAUUGGACAAUGGGCGCAAGCCUGAUCCAGCCAUGCCGCGUGAGUGAUGACGGCCUUAGGGUUGUAAAGCUCUUUCGCACGCGACGAUAAUGACGGUAGCGUGAGAAGAAGCCCCGGCUAACUUCGUGCCAGCAGCCGCGGUAAUACGAAGGGGGCUAGCGUUGUUCGGAUUAACUGGGCGUAAAGGGUGCGUAGGCGGGCUUUUAAGUCAGGGGUGAAAUCCCAAGGCUCAACCUUGGAACUGCCUUUGAUACUGGGAGUCUUGAGUCCGGGAGAGGUGAGUGGAACUGCGAGUGUAGAGGUGAAAUUCGUAGAUAUUCGCAAGAACACCAGUGGCGAAGGCGGCUCACUGGCCCGGAACUGACGCUGAGGCACGAAAGCGUGGGGAGCAAACAGGAUUAGAUACCCUGGUAGUCCACGCCUUAAACGAUGGAUGCUAGCCGUUGGCCAGCUUGCUGGUCCGUGGCGCCGUUAACACAUUUAGCAUCCGCUGGGAGUACGUCG
This 782-nucleotide ribosomal RNA is filed under the name Hyphomicrobiales bacterium. RNAcentral's name for it is "bacterial SSU rRNA". It matches the Rfam family "Bacterial small subunit ribosomal RNA", at positions 57 to 887 of the family's 1533-position model. The record is from RNAcentral. Lineage: Bacteria; Pseudomonadati; Pseudomonadota; Alphaproteobacteria; Hyphomicrobiales.